Molecule: ribosomal RNA, 455 nt
Filed under: bacterium enrichment culture clone ALO1_GLFRUDD03G1XT0
Lineage: Bacteria
Description: bacterial SSU rRNA
Rfam family: Bacterial small subunit ribosomal RNA
Source: RNAcentral
GAGUUUGAUCUUGGCUCAGAUUGAACGCUGGCGGCAUGCCUUACACAUGCAAGUCGAACGGCAGCACGGGAGCUUGCUCCUGGUGGCGAGUGGCGAACGGGUGAGUAAUGCAUCGGAACGUAUCCUGGAGUGGGGGAUAACGUAGCGAAAGUUACGCUAAUACCGCAUAUUCUGUGAGCAGGAAAGCGGGGGACCUUCGGGCCUCGCGCUCUUGGAGCGGCCGAUGUCGGAUUAGCUAGUUGGUGAGGUAAAGGCUCACCAAGGCGACGAUCCGUAGCAGGUCUGAGAGGAUGAUCUGCCACACUGGAACUGAGACACGGUCCAGACUCCUACGGGAGGCAGCGGUGGGGAAUUUUGGACAAUGGGGGCAACCCUGAUCCAGCCAUGCCGCGUGAGUGAAGAAGGCCUUCGGUUGUAAGUACGUACUUUCGUCCGUAGGGAAGGAAAGUUAGUAC